AAUAAAGUAAGCUAAAAAUUAAGCUGUUGGGUUCAUACCCCAAAAAUGAAAUGAGUAUUCCUUUAUUA
This 68-nucleotide transfer RNA is filed under the name Idiosepius hallami. Its description in RNAcentral is "tRNA-Met". Lineage: Eukaryota; Metazoa; Mollusca; Cephalopoda; Idiosepiidae. The record is from RNAcentral.